UGUAUGAUGGCAACUGAACUAGUCCCCACCAGGCUUCAGCCUGACCGAGAUGCGUGUGUUCUGCUUGCUCAGGCGAUAUGGGGCUUGUGUUGCAUACCGCUCAUCCCCCUGCUGGCCAGUCCGGUCCCAAACCUGCCCCUGUACUACGCUGGGUACAAGGUAUGACGAACACCCCAUAAACAAAUACCAGCACCCGUAUAACACCUGGUCCGGCAUUUGCUCCCAAUGCUGCUUUUGCAAGCUCAGGACCUCAUAACUAUCUCAAAGUCUUGCUUGUUAGGCAGGCAAAUGAGGCCAAAGCUGAUUGCAAAAAAAUAAGGGAAAUAACUACGCACCUACAGCCUUGUGCUCACUUCAGCCCUAUGAGCAGGGAACAGACAUGAAGAGAUUCUUAGCGGCUUGGCAGGCGUUGAGACGAUGCAGGCACUUGCGCGCAGGUGUACUCAGCGCGCACAGCGCUGGUGGGCUGCAAUGCGCUGACUAACAUGUGGAGCCACCUGGACACAGAGCAGCUGACAAAGCUGCGCGAGAAGCUGCGCGCGCUGCAGGAAAGCGGCGUUGUCUUCCCCGAGGACGCCUGGACCGGCAAGCUGCUAAGGCCCCACCCCAGG
This 611-nucleotide long non-coding RNA is filed under the name Coccomyxa subellipsoidea. Its description in RNAcentral is "long non-coding RNA (CSUB_LNC000516)". The record is from RNAcentral. Lineage: Eukaryota; Viridiplantae; Chlorophyta; Trebouxiophyceae; Coccomyxaceae.